RNAcentral lists this ribosomal RNA (158 nucleotides) under Trichophaea cf. hybrida KH.04.39. RNAcentral's name for it is "5.8S ribosomal RNA". It matches the Rfam family "5.8S ribosomal RNA". From Rfam's summary of the family: 5.8S ribosomal RNA (5.8S rRNA) is a component of the large subunit of the eukaryotic ribosome. It is transcribed by RNA polymerase I as part of the 45S precursor that also contains 18S and 28S rRNA. The record is from RNAcentral. Lineage: Eukaryota; Fungi; Ascomycota; Pezizomycetes; Pezizales; Pyronemataceae.
AAACUUUCAACAACGGAUCUCUUGGUUCUCGCAUCGAUGAAGAACGCAGCGAAAUGCGAUAAGUAGUGUGAAUUGCAGAAUUCAGUGAAUCAUCGAAUCUUUGAACGCACAUUGCGCCUCCCGGUAUUCCGGGAGGCAUGCCUGUUCGAGCGUCAUUA